RNAcentral lists this ribosomal RNA (505 nucleotides) under uncultured bacterium. Its description in RNAcentral is "partial 16S ribosomal RNA". It matches the Rfam family "Bacterial small subunit ribosomal RNA", at positions 28 to 507 of the family's 1533-position model. The record is from RNAcentral.
GACGAACGCUGGCGGCGUGCCUAAUACAUGCAAGUAGAACGCACAGUUUAUACCGUAGCUUGCUACACCAUAGACUGUGAGUUGCGAACGGGUGAGAAACGCGUAGGUAACCUGCCUGGUAGCGGGGGAUAACUAUUGGAAACGAUAGCUAAUACCGCAUAAUAUUGAUUAUUGCAUGAUAAUUAAUUGAAAGGUGCAAUUGCACCACUACCAGAUGGACCUGCGUUGUAUUAGCUAGUAGGUGAGGUAACGGCUCACCUAGGCGACGAUACAUAGCCGACCUGAGAGGGUGAUCGGCCACACUGGGACUGAGACACGGCCCAGACUCCUACGGGAGGCAGCAGUAGGGAAUCUUCGGCAAUGGACGAAAGUCUGACCGAGCAACGCCGCGUGAGUGAAGAAGGUUUUCGGAUCGUAAAGCUCUGUUGUAAGAGAAGAACGGGUGUGAGAGUGGAAAGUUCACACUGUGACGGUAUCUUACCAGAAAGGGACGGCUAACUACGUG